UAACCCCUACGGAGGCAGCAGUGGGGAAUCUUCCACAAUGGACGAAAGUCUGAUGGAGCAACGCCGCGUGAGUGAAGAAGGGUUUCGGCUCGUAAAGCUCUGUUGGUAGGGAAGAAAGAUAGAGGUAGUAACUGGCCUUUAUUUGACGGUAAUUACUUAGAAAGUCACGGCUAACUACGUGCCAGCAGCCGCGGGAAUACGUAGGGGGCAAGCGUUGUCCGGGUUUAUUGGGCGUAAAGCGAGUGCAGGCGGUUCAAUAA
RNAcentral lists this ribosomal RNA (260 nucleotides) under uncultured bacterium. Its description in RNAcentral is "partial 16S ribosomal RNA". It matches the Rfam family "Bacterial small subunit ribosomal RNA", at positions 333 to 586 of the family's 1533-position model. The record is from RNAcentral.